Molecule: ribosomal RNA, 1548 nt
Filed under: Salmonella enterica subsp. enterica serovar Typhi
Lineage: Bacteria; Pseudomonadati; Pseudomonadota; Gammaproteobacteria; Enterobacterales; Enterobacteriaceae
Description: bacterial SSU rRNA
Rfam family: Bacterial small subunit ribosomal RNA
Source: RNAcentral
AAAUUGAAGAGUUUGAUCAUGGCUCAGAUUGAACGCUGGCGGCAGGCCUAACACAUGCAAGUCGAACGGUAACAGGAAGCAGCUUGCUGCUUUGCUGACGAGUGGCGGACGGGUGAGUAAUGUCUGGGAAACUGCCUGAUGGAGGGGGAUAACUACUGGAAACGGUGGCUAAUACCGCAUAACGUCGCAAGACCAAAGAGGGGGACCUUCGGGCCUCUUGCCAUCAGAUGUGCCCAGAUGGGAUUAGCUUGUUGGUGAGGUAACGGCUCACCAAGGCGACGAUCCCUAGCUGGUCUGAGAGGAUGACCAGCCACACUGGAACUGAGACACGGUCCAGACUCCUACGGGAGGCAGCAGUGGGGAAUAUUGCACAAUGGGCGCAAGCCUGAUGCAGCCAUGCCGCGUGUAUGAAGAAGGCCUUCGGGUUGUAAAGUACUUUCAGCGGGGAGGAAGGUGUUGUGGUUAAUAACCGCAGCAAUUGACGUUACCCGCAGAAGAAGCACCGGCUAACUCCGUGCCAGCAGCCGCGGUAAUACGGAGGGUGCAAGCGUUAAUCGGAAUUACUGGGCGUAAAGCGCACGCAGGCGGUCUGUCAAGUCGGAUGUGAAAUCCCCGGGCUCAACCUGGGAACUGCAUUCGAAACUGGCAGGCUUGAGUCUUGUAGAGGGGGGUAGAAUUCCAGGUGUAGCGGUGAAAUGCGUAGAGAUCUGGAGGAAUACCGGUGGCGAAGGCGGCCCCCUGGACAAAGACUGACGCUCAGGUGCGAAAGCGUGGGGAGCAAACAGGAUUAGAUACCCUGGUAGUCCACGCCGUAAACGAUGUCUACUUGGAGGUUGUGCCCUUGAGGCGUGGCUUCCGGAGCUAACGCGUUAAGUAGACCGCCUGGGGAGUACGGCCGCAAGGUUAAAACUCAAAUGAAUUGACGGGGGCCCGCACAAGCGGUGGAGCAUGUGGUUUAAUUCGAUGCAACGCGAAGAACCUUACCUGGUCUUGACAUCCACAGAACUUUCCAGAGAUGGAUUGGUGCCUUCGGGAACUGUGAGACAGGUGCUGCAUGGCUGUCGUCAGCUCGUGUUGUGAAAUGUUGGGUUAAGUCCCGCAACGAGCGCAACCCUUAUCCUUUGUUGCCAGCGGUCCGGCCGGGAACUCAAAGGAGACUGCCAGUGAUAAACUGGAGGAAGGUGGGGAUGACGUCAAGUCAUCAUGGCCCUUACGACCAGGGCUACACACGUGCUACAAUGGCGCAUACAAAGAGAAGCGACCUCGCGAGAGUAAGCGGACCUCAUAAAGUGCGUCGUAGUCCGGAUUGGAGUCUGCAACUCGACUCCAUGAAGUCGGAAUCGCUAGUAAUCGUGGAUCAGAAUGCCACGGUGAAUACGUUCCCGGGCCUUGUACACACCGCCCGUCACACCAUGGGAGUGGGUUGCAAAAGAAGUAGGUAGCUUAACCUUCGGGGGGGCGCUUACCACUUUGUGAUUCAUGACUGGGGUGAAGUCGUAACAAGGUAACCGUAGGGGAACCUGCGGUUGGAUCACCUCCUUACCUUAG